This 301-nucleotide ribosomal RNA is filed under the name uncultured bacterium. RNAcentral's name for it is "partial 16S ribosomal RNA". It matches the Rfam family "Bacterial small subunit ribosomal RNA", at positions 509 to 809 of the family's 1533-position model. The record is from RNAcentral.
CAGCAGCCGCGGUAAUACGAAGGGUGCAAGCGUUAAUCGGAAUUACUGGGCGUAAAGCGUGCGUAGGCGGUGAGUUAAGUCUGCUGUGAAAUCCCCGGGCUCAACCUGGGAAUGGCAGUGGAUACUGGCUCGCUAGAGUGUGUCAGAGGAUGGUGGAAUUCCACGUGUAGCAGUGAAAUGCGUAGAGAUGUGGAGGAACACCGAUGGCGAAGGCAGCCCCCUGGGCCAAUACUGACGCUCAUGCACGAAAGCGUGGGGAGCAAACAGGAUUAGAUACCCCUGUAGUCCCUGUCUCUUAUAA